RNAcentral lists this ribosomal RNA (2776 nucleotides) under Pseudomonas syringae pv. aptata. Its description in RNAcentral is "bacterial LSU rRNA". It matches the Rfam family "Bacterial large subunit ribosomal RNA". Lineage: Bacteria; Pseudomonadati; Pseudomonadota; Gammaproteobacteria; Pseudomonadales; Pseudomonadaceae. The record is from RNAcentral.
AGCGCAUACGGUGGAUGCCUUGGCAGUCAGAGGCGAUGAAAGACGUGGUAGCCUGCGAAAAGCUUCGGGGAGUCGGCAAACAGACUGUGAUCCGGAGAUAUCUGAAUGGGGGAACCCAGCCAUCAUAAGAUGGUUAUCUUGUACUGAAUACAUAGGUGCAAGAGGCGAACCAGGGGAACUGAAACAUCUAAGUACCCUGAGGAAAAGAAAUCAACCGAGAUUCCCUUAGUAGUGGCGAGCGAACGGGGACCAGCCCUUAAGUUGUAUUGAGAUUAGCGGAACGUUCUGGAAAGGACGGCCAUAGUGGGUGAUAGCCCUGUACGCGAAAAUCCUUUUGCAAUGAAAUCGAGUAGGACGGGGCACGAGAAACCUUGUCUGAAUAUGGGGGGACCAUCCUCCAAGGCUAAAUACUACUGACUGACCGAUAGUGAACCAGUACCGUGAGGGAAAGGCGAAAAGAACCGCGGAGAGCGGAGUGAAAUAGAUCCUGAAACCGUAUGCGUACAAGCAGUGGGAGCCCACUUGUUGGGUGACUGCGUACCUUUUGUAUAAUGGGUCAGCGACUUAUUUUCAGUGGCGAGCUUAACCGAAUAGGGGAGGCGUAGCGAAAGCGAGUCUUAAUAGGGCGUCUAGUCGCUGGGAAUAGACCCGAAACCGGGCGAUCUAUCCAUGGGCAGGUUGAAGGUUGGGUAACACUAACUGGAGGACCGAACCGACUACCGUUGAAAAGUUAGCGGAUGACCUGUGGAUCGGAGUGAAAGGCUAAUCAAGCUCGGAGAUAGCUGGUUCUCCUCGAAAGCUAUUUAGGUAGCGCCUCAUGUAUCACUGUAGGGGGUAGAGCACUGUUUCGGCUAGGGGGUCAUCCCGACUUACCAAACCGAUGCAAACUCCGAAUACCUACAAGUGCCGAGCAUGGGAGACACACGGCGGGUGCUAACGUCCGUCGUGAAAAGGGAAACAACCCAGACCGUCAGCUAAGGUCCCAAAGUCAUGGUUAAGUGGGAAACGAUGUGGGAAGGCUUAGACAGCUAGGAGGUUGGCUUAGAAGCAGCCACCCUUUAAAGAAAGCGUAAUAGCUCACUAGUCGAGUCGGCCUGCGCGGAAGAUGUAACGGGGCUCAAACCAUGCACCGAAGCUACGGGUAUCAUCUUUUGAUGAUGCGGUAGAGGAGCGUUCUGUAAGCCUGUGAAGGUGAGUUGAGAAGCUUGCUGGAGGUAUCAGAAGUGCGAAUGCUGACAUGAGUAACGACAAUGGGUGUGAAAAACACCCACGCCGAAAGACCAAGGUUUCCUGCGCAACGUUAAUCGACGCAGGGUUAGUCGGUCCCUAAGGCGAGGCUGAAAAGCGUAGUCGAUGGAAAACAGGUUAAUAUUCCUGUACUUCUGGUUAUUGCGAUGGAGGGACGGAGAAGGCUAGGCCAGCCUGGCGUUGGUUGUCCAGGUUUAAGGUGGUAGGCUGAGAUCUUAGGUAAAUCCGGGAUCUUAAGGCCGAGAGCUGAUGACGAGUGUUCUUUUAGAACACGAAGUGGUUGAUGCCAUGCUUCCAAGAAAAGCUUCUAAGCUUCAGGUAACCAGGAACCGUACCCCAAACCGACACAGGUGGUUGGGUAGAGAAUACCAAGGCGCUUGAGAGAACUCGGGUGAAGGAACUAGGCAAAAUGGCACCGUAACUUCGGGAGAAGGUGCGCCGGUGGAGGUGAAGCAUUUACUGCGUAAGCCCCUGCCGGUCGAAGAUACCAGGCCGCUGCGACUGUUUAUUAAAAACACAGCACUCUGCAAACACGAAAGUGGACGUAUAGGGUGUGACGCCUGCCCGGUGCCGGAAGGUUAAUUGAUGGGGUUAGCGCAAGCGAAGCUCUUGAUCGAAGCCCCGGUAAACGGCGGCCGUAACUAUAACGGUCCUAAGGUAGCGAAAUUCCUUGUCGGGUAAGUUCCGACCUGCACGAAUGGCGUAACGAUGGCGGCGCUGUCUCCACCCGAGACUCAGUGAAAUUGAAAUCGCUGUGAAGAUGCAGUGUAUCCGCGGCUAGACGGAAAGACCCCGUGAACCUUUACUAUAGCUUUGCACUGGACUUUGAAUUUGCUUGUGUAGGAUAGGUGGGAGGCUUUGAAGCGUGGACGCCAGUCUGCGUGGAGCCAACCUUGAAAUACCACCCUGGCAACUUUGAGGUUCUAACUCAGGUCCGUUAUCCGGAUCGAGGACAGUGUAUGGUGGGUAGUUUGACUGGGGCGGUCUCCUCCUAAAGAGUAACGGAGGAGUACGAAGGUGCGCUCAGACCGGUCGGAAAUCGGUCGUAGAGUAUAAAGGCAAAAGCGCGCUUGACUGCGAGACAGACACGUCGAGCAGGUACGAAAGUAGGUCUUAGUGAUCCGGUGGUUCUGUAUGGAAGGGCCAUCGCUCAACGGAUAAAAGGUACUCCGGGGAUAACAGGCUGAUACCGCCCAAGAGUUCAUAUCGACGGCGGUGUUUGGCACCUCGAUGUCGGCUCAUCACAUCCUGGGGCUGAAGCCGGUCCCAAGGGUAUGGCUGUUCGCCAUUUAAAGUGGUACGCGAGCUGGGUUUAGAACGUCGUGAGACAGUUCGGUCCCUAUCUGCCGUGGACGUUUGAGAUUUGAGAGGGGCUGCUCCUAGUACGAGAGGACCGGAGUGGACGAACCUCUGGUGUUCCGGUUGUCACGCCAGUGGCAUUGCCGGGUAGCUAUGUUCGGAAAAGAUAACCGCUGAAAGCAUCUAAGCGGGAAACUUGCCUCAAGAUGAGAUCUCACUGGAACCUUGA